Molecule: ribosomal RNA, 383 nt
Filed under: uncultured bacterium
Lineage: Bacteria
Description: bacterial SSU rRNA
Rfam family: Bacterial small subunit ribosomal RNA
Source: RNAcentral
GUGAGUAGUUCAGAGUUUGAUCCUGGCUCAGGAUAAACGCUGGCGGCGCACAUAAGACAUGCAAGUCGAACGGAAGUCGUUAUAAUUGAACCUGAAUGAAAGAUUUAUCCGGAAUGAUGGUGAUUUUAUAGCAAUGGCUUUAGUGGCGGACUGGUGAGUAACGCGUAAGCAAUCUACCUAUUAGAGGGGAAUAACAGUGAGAAAUCACUGCUAAUACCGCAUAUGCCAUGAGUAUCGCAUGAUACAAUUGGGAAAGGAGUAAUCCGCUAAUAGAUGAGCUUGCGUCUGAUUAACUAGUUGGUGGGGUAACGGCCUACCAAGGUGACGAUCAGUAGCCGGACUGAGAGGUUGAACGGCCACAUUGGGACUGAGAUACGGCCCAG